This is a non-coding RNA of Parelaphostrongylus tenuis, 73 nucleotides long. The record is from the annotation of a GenBank genome assembly. Lineage: Eukaryota; Metazoa; Nematoda; Chromadorea; Rhabditida; Metastrongylidae.
GCCUCAGUGGUGUAGUGGUAGAGCACGCGUCCCCGUAUGGGAUGGAACGUGGGCCCGAUUCCCGCCUGAGGUC